This 214-nucleotide ribosomal RNA is filed under the name Pheidole nitella. RNAcentral's name for it is "partial large subunit ribosomal RNA". The record is from RNAcentral. Lineage: Eukaryota; Metazoa; Arthropoda; Insecta; Hymenoptera; Formicidae.
GAAUUUUAUAUAAAUUUAAGAGUAAGGAUUAGGAGUAAGAUUUUUUAGAUUUAUAUUUUGUUGGGAGGAUAGUUAAAUUAAUAAAACUUUAAUAAUAGUAAAAGUCAUUGAUUUAUGAUAAAUAAUGGAUGGUUAAUAAAUUUAUUUAGAAUUAAUUACCUUAGGGAUAACAGCAUAAUAUCUUUGGAGAGAUCUUAUCAAUAAAGAUGAUUGU